This 635-nucleotide long non-coding RNA is filed under the name Hordeum vulgare. RNAcentral describes it as "long non-coding RNA (HVUL_LNC018325)". Lineage: Eukaryota; Viridiplantae; Streptophyta; Magnoliopsida; Poales; Poaceae. The record is from RNAcentral.
AGGACCCCCACGGCCGGCUCUCUCGCGCCCUCGCAGCUCUCUCUCUCCCGCUCAAACCCUAGCAACCAUAACAAUGCAUGUAAGAGAAAUUUUGCACAAAGGAAUUUGUGAGGAGAUAAUAUUGAUCACACUGGCCUGCAAGGAAGUUGGUUAGCCCGAGAUUUGCAAUAAAUUGCAUGAACUCCUGGUAGAAAUCUGUGUCACUCAUGAAAGGUGUAUGGGGCUAUUCACAUGGUCGAACCUCCCUGACAUGAGAGAGGUUGAUAUCUUCAUAUUGGGCAUUCCCAAUAAUUCCUUGGGGCUCCGGCUUGAAGAAUCUCUCGUGAAGAUGUUCAUUUUUUUGGAACAAAUUUCUGGAAUUUUUGGACCACAAAAUUAUGUCAAGAAAACUUUGUAAGAUUGAUAGUAACUACUCAUAUAGAUGCCUAAAGGCCAUAUCAAGCAUUCAAACUACUUGGACCUCAAAGAAUUCAACAUGCAAGCUCAUUUUUAGUAGCACCAAGAGCAGUAAAAUAAGAAAAAUGUAAUCCACUAAAGCAAAAACUAAUUGGAGCAAUGGGAGAGUCACCUGCCAAGGAGCAAUCCCUCAAAACAGUUUAAGAAAUGGAUUUCUGAGCAGAGAAAUCUCACGUUUG